GACGGACGUACUUUCGUGAGCUCUGACUAUUGAUGAAAAGUUUUGAGUUUUACUGACUUGUACUUUGAGAGUAAAAUUGACUUCGCGUUAUAGAAUAGCGACUUGGUACUCAGGUUGUUGAAUGACUGGAUGACUGAAGUGUUAGGUUAUUGUUAUGAGAUAACAACUUGACUUUGACUUGAGUUGUGAAAUGAAACCAUACUCUUAUGCGAUGUUAACUUUUGAACGUUUAGUAUUGACUGACAACGAAAUUUUGUGAGCGUUAUAUAUGAAAUGUUUGACUUACAUUAAUUUUUUUGAACGACUUGACUUCACUUUAAGUUUUGACAUCGGACUGAUCGGACGUGUUUUUUUAAGCUCUGACUGUUGUGAAUAAUUAAAUUUAUGUUGUGGUGUCAAGCGAUUGACUGUCAGUUGAGGUUCAGAUGUCGAGCUGUGCGGACGUGUUCAUCGAGCUGCUGUCUACAAAAAACUUCGUUUCAGAUUUGACAUGAGAUGAAAACCUGACAUGAUUUGAACAGAGCUGGGAAACGAAAAGAUUUUCAGAUGUGUGCUGGCAGUUUAAGUCUGGCAGCUGGAGUGAACAGUCGUGUUUUCUGGAGCUCCAACAAUAUGCUAGAAGGUAAGUAACUAUGUUUGUUUUGCAUUGCAUGUUUUUAUAUGUUUCAGACUUUCAAGCAGAGAUGUCAUGCUGACUGGAGUUGAGCACAGGGCAGUGACAAAGUGAAAGGUAAGUACUUUUGACUGAAUGUUUGUUCUAUGCAUGUUUUGUUUUAAUACAUUUCAGGAGUGCUUAUCCAGUGAUGAUAUGACAGUUGGAGUGAACAGUGGAGCCAAGCAGUCUUGUUUUUGGAGCUACUCAACAAGCCUUGAAGGUAAGUUUAGAAUUUCUCAAUGUUAGUGAAUUGAAGUACUGUCACUUGCUUUUGGACAGUCGAACAGAACAGACGUGGUUGCGAGAGCUCUCAUAUCUGUUGUGUUAAACUGUUUUUAUGAUAUGUUAUGUUUGUUUGUUUGUUUGUUGGUGUUGUACUAUUUUUCAGAUGCUGUUGUCAGUGAUGGGUUUUCAAGCUGACCUGAACAGAAAAGCAAUCAUAUGGUAAGUACAAAUAGUUGUUAUAUGGGAUGUUUUGUGCAUGCUUUUAUGUUUCAGGUGUACUUGCAGUUAGAGACGAAGACGAUUCAAGAAGAGGACCAUAGGUCAGAAAGUGGAUGGAACAUA
Dreissena polymorpha is the source of this 1222-nucleotide long non-coding RNA. RefSeq lists it as uncharacterized. NCBI's taxonomy places the organism in Eukaryota, Metazoa, Mollusca, Bivalvia, Myida, Dreissenidae. The transcript is spliced from 3 exons. The record is from RefSeq and is a predicted model, not a curated record.